UGGGGAAUAUUGGACAAUGGGCGCAAGCCUGAUCCAGCCAUGCCGCGUGAGUGAUGAAGGCCUUAGGGUUGUAAAGCUCUUUCGCCAGGGACGAUAAUGACGGUACCUGGAUAAGAAGCCCCGGCUAACUUCGUGCCAGCAGCCGCGGUAAUACGAAGGGGGCUAGCGUUGUUCGGAAUUACUGGGCGUAAAGCGUAUGUAGGCGGAUCUUUAAGUCAGGGGUGAAAUCCCGAGGCUCAACCUCGGAACUGCCUUUGAUACUGGGGAUCUUGAGUCCGGGAGAGGUGAGUGGAACUGCGAGUGUAGAGGUGAAAUUCGUAGAUAUUCGCAAGAACACCAGUGGCGAAGGCGGCUCACUGGCCCGGUACUGACGCUGAAAUACGAAAGCGUGGGGAGCAAACAGGAUUAGAUACCCCUGUAGUCC
This 424-nucleotide ribosomal RNA is filed under the name uncultured bacterium. RNAcentral describes it as "bacterial SSU rRNA". It matches the Rfam family "Bacterial small subunit ribosomal RNA", at positions 355 to 796 of the family's 1533-position model. The record is from RNAcentral.